Molecule: ribosomal RNA, 164 nt
Filed under: Sarcophrynium brachystachyum
Lineage: Eukaryota; Viridiplantae; Streptophyta; Magnoliopsida; Zingiberales; Marantaceae
Description: 5.8S ribosomal RNA
Rfam family: 5.8S ribosomal RNA
About the family: 5.8S ribosomal RNA (5.8S rRNA) is a component of the large subunit of the eukaryotic ribosome.
Source: RNAcentral
CGAAUGACUCUCGGCAACGGAUAUCUCGGCCCUCGCAUCGAUGAAGAACGUAGCGAAAUGCGAUACGUGGUGUGAAUUGCAGAAUCCCGCGAACCAUUGAGUCCUUGAACGCAAGUUGCGCCCGAGGCCUUCCGGCCGAGGGCACGCCUGCCUGGGCGUCACGC